UAGGGAAUCUUCCGCAAUGGACGCAAGUCUGACGGAGCAACGCCGCGUGAGUGAAGAAGGAUUUCGGUUCGUAAAACUCUGUUGUUAGAGAAGAACAGCGCAUAGAGUAACUGUUAUGCGUGUGACGGUAUCUAACCAGAAAGCCACGGCUAACUACGUGCCAGCAGCCGCGGUAAUACGUAGGUGGCAAGCGUUGUCCGGAUUUAUUGGGCGUAAAGCGAGCGCAGGCGGUCAAUUAAGUCUGAUGUGAAAGCCCCCGGCUCAACCGGGGAGGGUCAUUGGAAACUGGUUGACUUGAGUGCAGAAGAGGAGAGUGGAAUUCCAUGUGUAGCGGUGAAAUGCGUAGAUAUAUGGAGGAACACCAGUGGCGAAGGCGACUCUCUGGUCUGUAACUGACGCUGAGGCACGAAAGCGUGGGUAGCAAACAGG
Molecule: ribosomal RNA, 429 nt
Filed under: Bacteroidota bacterium
Lineage: Bacteria; Pseudomonadati; Bacteroidota
Description: Bacteroidetes bacterium partial 16S ribosomal RNA
Rfam family: Bacterial small subunit ribosomal RNA
Source: RNAcentral